UACAGAGGGUGCGAGCGUUGUCCGGAAUCACUGGGCGUAAAGGGCGUGUAGGCGGCUGGGUAAGCCGCGUGUGAAAUCCCGGGGCUCAACCCCGGAACGGCACGCGGGACUGUCCGGCUAGAGACUGGUAGAGGCGAGUGGAAUUCCUGGUGUAGCGGUGGAAUGCGUAGAGAUCAGGAAGAACACCGGUGGCGAAGGCGGCUCGCUGGGCCAGUUCUGACGCUGAGGCGCGAAAGCGUGGGGAG
Molecule: ribosomal RNA, 245 nt
Filed under: uncultured bacterium
Lineage: Bacteria
Description: partial 16S ribosomal RNA
Rfam family: Bacterial small subunit ribosomal RNA
Source: RNAcentral